GCAUCGAUGAAGAACGCAGCGAAAUGCGAUAAGUAAUGCGAAUUGCAGAAUUCAGUGAAUCAUCGAAUCUUUGAACGCACAUUGCGCCCGCCAGUAUUCUGGCGGGCAUGCCUGUCUGAGCGUCAGUUCAACCCUCGCAACCGGCUUUGCUGGAUGUGGUGUUGGGGAUCGGCUGCCUUCUAGGUGGCCGGCCCCGAAAUAGAGUGGCGGUCUCGUCGUGGCCUCCUCUGCGUAGUAGCAAUAUCUCGCAGGCGGAGAGCGGCGUGGCUAUGCCGUAAAACACCCAACUCUUCUAAGGUUGACCUCAGAUCAGGUAGGAAUACCCGCUGAACUUAAGCAUAUCAAUAAGCGGAGGA
Molecule: unclassified non-coding RNA, 356 nt
Filed under: uncultured bacterium
Lineage: Bacteria
Description: contains 16S-23S intergenic spacer region
Rfam family: 5.8S ribosomal RNA (bases 1-125)
Source: RNAcentral